Molecule: ribosomal RNA, 292 nt
Filed under: uncultured bacterium
Lineage: Bacteria
Description: partial 16S ribosomal RNA
Source: RNAcentral
GGACUACACGGGUAUCUAAUCCCGUUCGCUCCCCUGGCUUUCGCACAUUAGCGUCAGGAGCUUGCCAGGAGACUGCCUUCGCCUUUGGUGUUCCUCCGGAUAUCUACGCAUUUCACCACUACACCCGGAAUUCCGUCUCCCUCUCAAGUCCUCAAGUCCAGCAGUUUUCAAAGGCCUUGCUCAGUUAAGCCGAGCACUGUCACUCCAAACUUGCUGCACCGCCUGCGUGCGCUUUACGCCCAGUAACUCCGGACAACGCUCGCCCCCUACGUAUUACCGCGGCUGCUGGCAC